Physeter macrocephalus (sperm whale) is the source of this 6314-nucleotide long non-coding RNA. RefSeq lists it as uncharacterized. The record is from RefSeq and is a predicted model, not a curated record. The transcript has 2 exons. Lineage: Eukaryota; Metazoa; Chordata; Mammalia; Artiodactyla; Physeteridae.
GGAAGAGAUGGAAAAGAGUGAAUGUGCCCAACGUUUGUUUAGGGGGUGGUUCCAGCAGCAUGGCAGACAGGCCCACAAGGGCCCUGUUCCUGUUAUAAACAGACGAAAGGGUGGCUCAGUUCAGAAGAAUGAAAGGGAGCUCUCAGGUGACACAAAUGAAGAGACCCCAAAAGCCAGAAUGGUCUGAGUGGCCCAGGGAGGCAUGAGACCUAGAGUCUGGAGGCUCCGGUUUAGUGCCGUGUGUGGAUAUAAGACGCGUGCCUGUGGACCUGACUAGGCUUGGCUCCAUCGCCAAGAACCUGUGUAGAGCUGGAAUUCUCAAAGGGCUGCCCAGUUCUUGGCCCACGGUCCAAAGAUGUGUCAAGAGUCCAGGCAGGUUUUUUUUCUUAAGAAUAUAUAUAGGGACUUCCCUGGUGGCACGGUGGUUAAGAAUCCGCCUGCCAAUGCAGGGGACACGGGUUCGAACCCUGGUCCAGGAAGAUCCCACAUGCCGCGGAGCAACUAAGCCCGUGCGCCACAACUACUGAGCCUGUGCUCUAGAGCCCGUGAGCCACAGCUACUGAACCUGCAUGCCACAGCUACUGAAGCCCACGUGCCUAGAGCCCGUGCUCCGCAACAAGAGAAGCCACCGCAAUGAGAAGCCCGUGCGCCGCAACGAAGAGCAGGCCCCGCUCGCCGCAACUAGAGAAAGCCCGCGCACAGCAGCAAAGACCGAACGCAACCCAAAAAUCAAUCAAUCAAUCAGCCAAUCCACUUCUUACCUAAAAAAAUAGACUGUAUAUAUUUUUUAAAGAAUAUGUUUAUAUAUUCUUUCUGAGAUUCUUCUCCAUUAUAGGUUAUUACAAGAUAUUGAAUAUAGUUUCCUGUGUUAUACAGUAGUCUUUGUUGUCAGAAAAAUCUUUUAUGGGAUAUUUUUACUACCCAUAUAGUUUGGAAAUCCCAAGCCAAGAAUUUAACAUAGGAAGUAGGUCUGUACUCUUAAAAUUUGCGGGCCAUCGUGGCACAAACAAAUUCAAAACUACCUUGAAGAUAAACACAUCUUCAAUCUGGGGUCCGUGGGGUUUCUGUACAACAGUCCCCACCAGAGACAGACUCACACAGAACACUGUGAACGCUGGAGAGGGAGAGCUCCCGGGGCAGGGUCUAGAUGCUCAGGAUGCAGAUGAGCGGCAGACAGAAACCUCAGACCGUGACUUCAGUUGGUGAUGUCGACAAAAAUUAGUCCGUUGAUCUAAGAAAGAAGUGGAGAAUUUUAUUUGAGCCAGAUUUGAGGAUUAUAACCUGGAAGAACAUCUCAGCAAAGCUCCAAGAACUGUUCCGCCCGUUAGAGGUCACGGCACAGUAGCAUAAGUUUUUGAGACACAAGGCUGUACGCGAAAUGACGUCUUAUUGACAGGUCACACUAGCCAUGUCUGAGCGUCAUCGUGGCCCCAUCAAGAAGGAAGGUUAUCUUUAAGGCCCUGUCUUGUUGGUGCUGGGAGAACGCUGCUCUUCGUGGCUGGGCAGGUGUUCCUGCCGAUGGAGGUUUGGUCGAUGUAAGAUGCAGAUACGCCCUGCACAGUAAGGGGGAGAGCGGGGGCCAGAGGGCAGAGCAGAUGUGUUGAUGUUUGAAUUGUUCUUGUCUUGCCAUAAAAUACGAACUUUAUUUCACAGUAACAAUAAUUAGAAGUGACCAGCUGUACUAAAGAUAGAGCGAGCGUUCUAGAGGAGCAGUGAGGUAAGUGCAGGAGGAGUAGCUGUUGGGACAGCAGAUGCUGCAGAUGUACCGUUGUAUCUGGUAGAGAGCUGCUACGGGAACCUGCGUAUGUAAGGCGUCUAACAGCCGUGUGGUGAGAGGCUGCCGUGUGCCCGGCGCAGGGGCAUUACGGAUCCAGGGUCAGGGAAAAGCUAGCCCGUGUCUGUGUGGAAGGCAGCUCGGAAGCUGCGGUACAGUGUCCGAUGUGGGAACGGGGGCGUCUGGAGUAGAGGGGCAGGAAGGGGCUGCAGAGGAGGUGCCUGGGCUUGAGUCUGGAGAGGCUGGUCCUAACAGGAGGGUGGUAUUUUAGAGGGACGUGAGAAAUUCGGGGAACAAGUUCACCGUGCCUGGCGCUGGGAGGAGGGCAAGGCCAGCGCAGCGUUUCUGCAGGUGUCUUGUGUGAAGUAGGUUUAGAUGCAGAAAAAAAGCGUUCUGUGGCCCAGCGGAUUUGUGAAACGACGGCUUAAACACAGCUAAACGGUUGCUCCAAAACCUGGGGGUGGCUCCUCUCCAGGGCGUGCGUGGCGCUGGUUAGAAUUUGCAGCAGUUGCCAGAUUUCUGUGUCCAUCGAAUAGUUUUGUUUUUUCACAGAAACCUGACUGGUACUCCAUUGGGAAUGCUUUGGAAAUUGUGGCGCUAGAGAGAGGAGGGCAGGAACCGCAUGGUGUAGUUUCUGUCUGUGCCGCGCUGAGAAACUUGAACUUCCGCUCUCAGAGCUGUGGACUGGAGUGCUUUCAGCCGGGGAAUGGCUUGAUCAAAUAAAACGUCAUUUAAGCCUUCACAGAAUUAAAGCCGUUCAGUUUCUCCUUCAGACAAACACACGCUGAAAGGAAAAAAGCACAUGUUUUGAAAACAACUAAACUUUCCUUCCGAAAGAGCAUGCUGGGUACUACUUCUUCUCUUGAAGCUGCAGCUUGCUCUGUAAUCAGCUCCUUGUGGAAGGAUUUUGGCUCUUGCUGGGAAAUGGAGGCCUGGAACCUGUGUUGACGGGUCCCGUUGGAAACAAUUAGCGUCAGGCAAAUGGGUCUUCAAACCGGCCAUAGCAAGACCUGACCAGCGGAGAAGUCAUCUCAGAAAGAAUCUCUGUUUGCAAGGUAACUAGAGCUCGUGCAUUGGGGUGUGGGUCUUCCCAUGGAACCGGCACACCUGACUUUCCCUUUCUGAGCCCGUUUUGUUUCAAGAGGGGGGAAGUGGGCGCGUGCAGCACUGGCCAGGGAGCGGGCGCCGCUCUCCCCGGGGGGGUGGCCCUUCACUCAGCCUGUGAACUACAGGUAUGAUGACAGAUACAUCAGUAGACAGGGCUGGAUACAGCGAGCAUCAUGAUACCGAAUCGUGAUCAGCACGGAAAGGUUAACACUAGAUUUUUCUGAGGGAUGAUGGGUAAUUUUUAUUUUAUUUUUUCCUGUAUUUUCCAAAGUUCCAGAGUGAUGAAGAAUUACCAUUGUAAUGGGGGUGGGGGGGCAGGUGAGCUUGAAAAAAAAUUAAUUCUGUGGACAACAGUGUCUAUUAUGAUGUAAGUCUGUGAAGAUGGCCACAGUCAUUGAAGAGUAGACACAGUAGUCAAGCGAGUCAAGAUAAUUUAUGCAGGAUUCUAGAUAAUUUGUGAUUUUGGUGCGUAAGCUCAGGGCAGGACCUCUGAAAGUUUAUUACUCUUGAGAAGGGCACAAUCUUGGACUUACAAAGUUCCUUUUUAAAAUUUUCAUUCUUUUUCUUUGUUUUUUUUUUUUCUGAAAAGCUCCCCUGUGACCAGUGUGUUCCUUUUACCUGGUGGAAGGGAAGAGGAGUUAGGCCCCUGUUUUGCAGAUGGAAAUGCCGAGGCCCUAAGAGUGUGGAGUGAUUUGCCUGAUGAGCACACCUUGAGUCAGGCACGGUGGAGACCAUAACUCAAGCCUCUCUUUCCUCCCCAUUGAACUCACUAACCAUUUUUUCUUUUGGAUUAAAAAAAAGUUUUGGUCCAGGGGCCAGUCCAUCUCCGUCAGCGGCCUGGAACGCGGCAGUCUCUGCCUUCGUGGCGCUCGGAUCACGGCACCGUCCCGUUUUGGGGUUGCUCCUGAGGACGGUAGAAACUGCCAGCGCCCUCCGAUUGUGAAGGGGUUGGCCGGGCUGGCGGACGCCAGGGUGGAGAGGGCGCAUGGCGCGCAGCUGGCAGACGGCGGCGGGGUGUCAGGGCGGGCGGCGGCUGUCGCGGGGCGCGGUGGCUGCCUUCAUUCCGAAAGCCCUAGGUUUUCCUUAGCAACGGUGUCAGCAGCGCCAACAACUCCCGGGGCUACUAGUGGAGUCUGCGGGCUCCCGCCUUUGAUCCUCUCGCCCCAGCCCUGAAUUUUACACCUUCCUUUUUAUUGGUGCCCUUUCUUUUCUUGUAGAAGUGGCCAAAACAGUUUUUCUCUACAAGAAGCUAAAGUUAUUUGUCUUUCCCGGAGAGCUCACGUGCGACUUGCUUUAUUUGGUCUGUUUACGGCUGAGUCGUAUAUACCACACUUGUCGACCUUCUUGAAUCCUUUGGGGUCUUUAUAAGCUGGGUAGUUAUUCCACUAAGUGAAGCUGUCAGCAGAUUAAUUUGGCGUCGUCUUUGGAAUGUCAGAAAUUUAAACCAAGUAACUAAACACUUGAGUCAUGGUUUUUUAAAGUUGUUUGACUCAUCUCCCUGUCUCCAAGCUAAAGUCAGGCAGUUGUCAGUUCAAGGAGGUGUUCUAGAGAAGAGGUUCCCAAGCUCCUCCAGCCUCUCUCAGUUCUUGUUCUGAAAUGAGUAUUUUCUUUCCCAAGAGACCGCAGCAGUGCUGAACUUACCAGGCUUUUCUCUGCUGGUGUAAAUAGUUCUCUCUCUUCCUAACUAGGAACAGGAAGAGAGUGAAAUGCAUGUAGCAGUCGAUACUGCGUUGUUCACAAAUUCAAGGUUGGUGGCAGCCUGUGUCGAACAAGUCUCUCGGCGCCAUUUUUCCAACAGCAUCUGGUCACUUCAUGUCUCUGUGUCACAUUUGGUUAUUCUCACAAUAUUUCAAACUUUUUCAUUAUUGUAUUUGUUAUAUCUGUGAUCAGUGAUAUUUGAUGUUACUAUUGUAAUUGGGGUGCCACACCACACCCAUAUGAAACCACAAACUUAAUCAAUAAAUGCUGUAUCUUUACUGCUCUACCCAGCAGCGGUUCCCCUGUCCCUCUCCCUCUCCUUGGGCCUCCCUAUUCCCUGAGACAAAACAUUACUGAAAUUAGGCCAAUUAAUAACCCUACAAGGGUCUCUAAGUAUUCAAGUGAAAGGAAGAGUUGCACAUCUCUCACUUUAAAUCAAAAACUAGAAAUUAUUACCCUUAGUGAGGAAGGCACGUGGAAAGCCAAGAUAGGCCUAAAGCUGGGCCUCUUGCACCAAACGGUUAGCCAAGCUAGAAAUGCAAAGGAAAAGUUCUUGAAGGAAAUUAAAAGUACUACUUCAGUGAACACACAAAUGAUAAGAAAGCGAAACAGCCUUAUCGCUGAUAUGGAGAAAGUCUGAGUGGUCUGGAUAGAAGAUCAAACCAGAAACAGCAAAGCCUCGUCCCGAGCAAGGCCCAACUCUCUUCAGUUCCAUGAAGGCUGAAAGCGGUGGGGAAGCUGCAGAAGAAAAACUUGAAGCUUAGCAGAGGUUGAUUCAUGAGGUUUAAGGGAAGGUGCGUUCUCAGUCACAUAAAAGUGCAAGGUGAAGCAACAGGUGCUGAUGUAGAAGCUGCAGCAAGUUAUCCAGAAGAUCCAGCUAAGAGAAUUCAUGAAUGUGGCUGCACUAAACCACAGAUUUUCAAUGUAGGUUAAACAGCCUUCUAUUGGAAGAAGAUGCCAUCCAGGACUUCCAUAGUUAGAGAGGGGACGUCAAUGCCUGGCUUCAAAGGACAGGCUGACUCUCCUGUUAGGGGCUGAUGCAGCUGGUGACUUUCAGUUGAAGCCAAGGCUCAUUUACCAUUCUGAAAAUCCUAGGGCCCUUAAGAAUUAUGCUGCAUCUACUCUGCCUGUGCUCUGCAAAUGGAACAACAAGCCUGGAUGACAGCACACCUGUUUACAACAUGGUUUACUGAAUGGUUUAAGCCCACUGUUGAGACCUACUGCUCGGAAAAAAAAGAUUCAAAAUAUUACUGCUCAUUGACAGCGCACCUGGUGUCACCCAAGAGCUCUGAUGGAGAUGGGCAAUGAGACUCAUGUUGUUUUCAUGCCUGCAAACACAACAUCCGUCCUGCAGCCUGUGGAUCAAGGAGUAACUUUCAAGCCUUGUUGUUUAAGAAAUACAUUUCGGGGACUUCCCUAGUGGUGCAGUGGAUAAGAAUCCGCCUGCCAGUGCAGGCAACACGGGUUCGAUCCCCGGUCCGGGAAGAUCCAAUAUGCCGCGGAGCAACUAAGCCCGUGCGCCACAACUACUGAGCCUGUGCUCUAGAGCCUGCGAGCCACAACUACUGAGCCCUUUUGCCACAACUACUGAAGCCCACGCGCCUAGAGCCUGUGCUCUGCAACAAAGAGAAGCCACCACAAUGAGAAGCCUGUGCUCCGCAAUGAAGAGUAGCCCCUGCUCGCCGCAACUAGAGAAAGCCUGCACGCAGUAACAAAGACCCAGUGCAGCCAAAAA